UUCGCCACUUAACCAAAAGAAGCUUCCGCCGUUGCUAUAAGAAAAGAAUAGUGAAUCAGAGAGAAGCAUAGUUACUACACUGCUGACUUAAAAGUAAGGGUUAGCUAAGUGGGAAAUGAGUGGAAAGAGAAGAGCGGGAUCAAUCAGGUAAGCGUCGCGGGACGGGAAAGAAAUAAGCUCUAUAUUAACCCCGAGAAAGUUAGUAGCUGGCUCACUAACGCUGAUUUGGAGUAACUCGCUAACGGAGCCCUAAACAAGUAUACUAUAGGAUUGUGAAUCUCAUGCUCAUGUACGCUCUGCUGCUACAUCUCAUGCAUCCUCUGCUAUUACAUCUCAUGCACCUUCUAUUUCUUUCUAUAUCUAUUCCAAAGGGGUGUCUUAAGUGUUACAGUCAGAAGUCACUCCUCUUUCUUUCUCGCUUCCGAAGCCCAUAAUCCUACAAGGCAAUCAGUGACGUGUCUUAGUUUCGAAGUUUCUCAGUCAAGGGAAAUACUUUCUGCUCGAAGUAUCGAAGUAAAGUCCCUUCUUUAUGCACAUACAUAUACAUAGCCAGACACAAAGGUGUACAAUCCGGUGAAAUUAGACUUGAAGUGUUCAGUAACUAUAGGUUCUAUUACUUGCUCUAGUGACCGGGCCAACCGAUAGGGGAGAACGAAUGGCUCAGGAAUCGACUGGUUCCGAGUAGACUCGUGGAGCUACACAGCUUGGAUUAUUUUCGAAUAUAUAUAAUAAGAGGAGCCGAGCUAAAUGACUUAAAAGAAAAGAGCCGCUGCGAGGCGAGGGGGGGCGUAGAGAGGUCGGUGCACUCACUCCCGUUACGAGAAUGAAAUGACGCGCCACGAGCACUUACAACUCGCACGAAUAGCGCCACUUAGUGGCCGGAGAUGGAUUGAAAAGGAAGCCCACCCCCCUUUUUGGAUUGUGAGAAAGAGCACACAGGACCUUACCCACUAAUCAUCAUCUCAUCUUAGCGAAGCAUAAAACAAACCCACUAAUCAUCAUCUCAUCUUAGCGAAGCAUAAAGAAGCUCCCCCCGCCUACCUACUCGUGUUCGUAGCUCGAUCGGAGGUCAAGAGUGUGGCGGAAAAAAAGAGGUAGUCCGUAUCAAGUGAGACGUGAAUUGCUCAGUAGUGCUUCGCCACUGGACGUUGACCCGCAGGCGGAAAUAGCUUAAUGGUAGAGAUAGCCUUGCCAAGGCAGAGGUUUAGGGUGAAAUUCCCUCCUUCCGUUCCUGGCUUCGUCCUUUAGUGGUAUAGAGUUGAGUGCAUAAGCCCCUUUCUACAAACCUUUAUAUAAUAUAAGGGAAACUCGAAGAGCUUUCUUCGCAUGCUCCUGCAGUACGAGCCUCAUAGCCGCGCUUUAAUAUGAUGAGAAGAAGAGGGGCUCCUUAUAUUCCGAGAAGAAGAGGGGCUCUUUCUAUUCCGCGAAAAUCCUUAUUUACAUCUUAUGGGGGGUGUAUAGCUCAGUUGGUAGAGCAUUGGGCUUUUAACCUAAUGGUCGCAGGUUCAAGUCCUGCUAUACCCAAACCUACCUUACACUAUACAAUGAGUAUGAGUAAGGAUGCGUUCAAAGAGAACUCUUUUGCCUUUGGACUCGCUUCGGCGACUUCGCCCUUUCAGUGACAAGGGUUGUGAGGUAAGGAGUAGUUCCAAGAGUGGCUCGGUCAUCGAUAGGCCCAUCCUUAUUAAUUCUCUCUAUAGGGCAGGCGCUCCCUACCUCUCGCAUUUACUUAUCUUCAUUCUUUUUUCGCCAAGGUAGGUGAUCGGCCUUACUUUUCUAGAAGGAGUGGAGUAUCUUCCAGUAACGGCGAACAGGGGUCCCGCCUGGAUUUCCUUUUUCGUUUAUUUUCUUAUUUCCUCGAAUAUGGAACUUUCGCCCUCCUCCUUGGUGCUCCGCCAUGGUUCCAGCAUGUGAUUAGUGAUUAACUCCAUUGCUUCAUCACCUGAUAGACACCUAAACAGAAUUCCCGGUAUGCCUCUUUUGAAUAGCUUACCAUCAUGCACUAUAUACCUUUUGACCAUCUUCUUGAGAAAGUGCCUUUUGUCCGAUACUCAAUAGAUAUUAUGGCUGUCUCCAAUCCACUAAUGGAUAAAGGAACAUUCUGAUCAAUCGGGGGCAUCCAUGUGCACUGAUUGCUUUAGUUCUUGAAUCACAGCAUGUCUCCCAUCUCCUUCUUUAAUGACAUCUGAAUAUAGCUUAUCGUGAAAGUUCCAUGUAGCUGAGCAGGAGUUCGUCGCUUGCGGAUCUUCUCAUUAUCUUCGCACUUUUCUCUUUGAAGCUAGAGUUGCCAAAGAAUCCGGUAUAUAUGCACAAACUUUCCCUUUCUCGCUUUUGGAGUUCCCAAUUCUAUGUAAAAUUCUGACAGCUGUAACAACCAUUGCGCUGUCCUUCCCGAUGGGGCUGGCCUUGACAGCAAGUACCUUAUCUGAUUAGCCCCCACAACCAACUUUCUCUUGUGCACCAGCAUAUAAUGUCUGAACUUUCUUUUGGGCUGCAUAUACUCAAAAGAUGUAAGCGCUUUUUUCUCUGCUUUAGUGUAUCUCGCUUCCGCUUCUUUGAGAAUUAUACUAGCAUAGUCGAUUGUUGGCUUUUCUUAACCAUUUUGAUCAUCCUGUGCUAGCACUCUAUUCCGAUAAGCAUUAUCAUUGAAAUGAAAACAAGAUAUAGCGUAAAGUGCCUUACCAGCUAUUGGAGCCAUCAUCACUGGGGCGUUCGCUAAGGUCUCCUGUCUUUUGGAAAAGGCUUGCGGACAAGUAGCAGAAUCUUGUCAAUAUGCCUCUUACCAUUUGGACUCUACCUUUUUCUCUUUGGCAAUUCAAUAAGAGGGGCGGAACAGAAAAGGCAGCUAACCGCGUUGUGAUGAAAUCAAUGUUUGCCUUCAAGCGUUAAGUAUUGCCCACUUAUGGUUAAUAGCAAGUUGAGUAUAGAAUUGAUUGGUAAUUAGACAGAGGCAGAGCAGACUAAGCACUAUAAGGACAGAGGCAGUCUAAAGGGGCUGGCUUAUGCACUCCACUCGUUACCACUAGCAGCAUAGACACCGUUAUCAAGGACAGAGGCAGUGGCAUAGACACCGUUAUCCAAGUGAAAAGCAUAGAAAGAGACAGCAGACAAGCAUCUCCUCAAUCAGUUCCGUAAUAUCUAUUUCUUGGAUUUCUCUAUUAUGAGUUAAGUAAUAAGUGAGUUUAGUGUUUGUUUACUUAUAGAUAUAAGUGUGUGUCAUCAACGGAAUUUCUUAUGGUUGUGUUUAUUACAUUGCUUGUUGACUUUCAUUACUCAUAUCGGCAUAAUAAUCCUAUACGAUAAGUACAUAGGCAUAGGUACCGUUAUCUAUAUUAUAUGAGACCGACUGAACUUCCCGUGUAGUGACAGCUUCUUACUAUUCUACUAUAUACUUAAUUGGACUAUUCUACUAUAUACUUAAUGGAGCUCCCGAUAAACAGUUUCGUUUAACUAGACUAGAUGAUUCUUCUUGCUACAACAGUUGGACCUGUAGCGCCAGUAAGAUAAUAUUUCUUCCCGCACCACACCGAAGCAGUUCCUUGUAAGAUCCAGCAGGUAGAAAAAAGAAUACUACUUUCAAUCAGGUUCCCCACAGUAGAAAGUAUGUCCUCAAGAUGCAUCGACUGAUACUAUGAUUGUCGGAGAGGUAUUGUCUUAAUCAAAGCAUUGAUUGUGUUCACCACUCUCCUUUCUUUGACGGCGGGUUUCAGGGCACUACCAAGCAUUAGCCCAAGAGAAGCGAUAUCGCAAACAAACUUAUAGCAUUUCCGGGCGAGGGCAACCACACUCUUCGUUUCUAGAAAUGGGGAACAGCAUCGCUUGAUUAAAGGAGUUAGAAUAGAAUAGGUCUAGAGAUCUGUGCCACUUUCUGGUCUGUCUGUUCCUCUGUAUCAAGCCCGUAGCCGUGCAGCCUGAAGCCUGUCUAAUCUUCUCUUUCUCGCAAGCUUCAAAGAUUCGAAAAGGAACUAAAUUGACUGAUUGAAUGGUGGAAUGGACAUCCCAUGUCUUCUUGAUCAAAGUAUGUUGUCAGAAGAAUUGAGACUUUCUCAGUGGCAUAAGCCGAAGUAGAAGCAUUAGCGUACCCAACGUACAAGACGGAUGCCGAGGCAAGAAACCCCGAAAACGCUAUUCCUGAAGGAAAUGUGCCUUCCACCUUUAGAUACCAGGAAAGGGUAGACGAAAGAAAGAAGGUAUCAGGGAGUGUGAAGACAUCGGUUGAAGCGCUUCGUUUACAGACGAAAUAAGUUGCAAGCAAGACUACGGGACUAAAGAAUAGAAUCCAUUUCUCUUUAUCACAUCACGGGGCUUGUCUAUCGAUCUUAGUCUUAGAUAAAUGGGUGGUAGCCACUACGUCAAGAGCAAAUCUCUAAUCUAUAGAGAUGUAGAAAGAGAAGAUUGCCUUUUCCUCGGUGAGUUGAAGGGACUCCUUCGUUGAAACCAGACCUCCACUUUUCUCUUUAGAAACAAGUAGCACUUUACAGAUAUAGAGUUUUCAGAUCUUAUUUGUAUUAAUGAGCUUACUAGUAUAUUAAUAGUGAUCUUGUAGGAGUGUGAGUUAUUAUAUUCCUUGUAUUCCUAUUAGGUUAUUAUAUUCCUUUGUAUUCCUAUUGCAGCUGAUUUGCGUAUACGAGGUUUAGUUUGAUUCUUUUCUUUUGCUCUGGACGAAGCAAUUCUAUAUGAUUUCCUUUUGCGCCAGUAAAACCCCAUGAUGAGCCUAGUUCACGCUCCACCAGAUGUGAGACUUGUCGACGAGUCUAGUAUACGCUUGGUUGCUCCUCUAAGAAGGGAGUUACGUUACCGCCUAUAACUGAUGCUAUAUAUCUAUCCAGAAAGAAGGAAUGCACCCAAACCUCUACACCUAUAAACUCUCUACUUCGAUUUAAGAACCGAAAUAAGGAAGUAUCACCUUAACCUGAACCUCAGGAAACUUAUACUUAAACAUUCGAAUCUAUUCUAUUCUAUUUGCUACAGCGGGACAAGAAAGACAUUCUCUAAGACAACACCUAACUCGACUAGAUUCUUUCCUUCAAAGCGAAAACAAGUACUAUCUUAUUACCGGAAUCCAACAAGUUGCGGAUCAGUGUAUUUACACUUUACCUAGUGCCUUCGAUACGAAAGAUUUCAUUAAAGAUUAGUUGACUCGGUCCGGUCCUCGGCGCAAGGCAAGACUCAGUGCGUUAGGAUCAGUGAGCAGCUCAAUUCCCAUUAUAUAUGAGGUGCACCAGAGAUGGAUUCAAUUCAAACUUGAGAGUUUCGGUCGGGCAAGACGAACAAAGUAACAGGGCGAGGGCAGUAAAGCAAGGGUUUUGAGGUCGUUAGUUUCAGUUUGAAAGUCAGGCAAUAGGGUUUGGGCUACUGCUGAAUAUAAGGGCCCUUGUAUACUCUUAUGAUUCUUCCUUAUCCGAAAAAGUAGUAGAGCAACUGAAGUAGCAAAGCAAGAAUCGGAAAUCACAAAUAUAGUAUAUGUUAGUACGUUGCCAUGAACAAGUCCUGUAUUCAUCUGUCCGGGCCGGGGUAGCCAAUGCCCCUUGGGUAGCAAGUAGUGGUCAAGUUUCAGAAGAGAUGACUGACUCUAAGGUCUAUAGGUAACCAACCCUAGGCAUUAUAUCAAUAGGUAACUCUAAGACUAGGAUUCCACUGGGGAUGAAACUAUAACAAUUAUAAAGAUAGAAUGAAUUCAUAUUGAUUUCUUAUACAUAGCAGUCCGGGUAGGGAACUAAGGUAUUCUUGCCAGCCAACACUCUCACCUCCCUCUCGCACAGGAAUGGAAUAGAAAACUCUCUGCCACCUGAUCGGUCUGUAACAAAGCAAGACUCCCUUACAUUACCCAUUAGGAAAGAGAUUCAUUCCUCUAACGGAAAUCGAUUCAUGAUGGCGACUCCCUACUCUGAUAAUUCCUACAGCUGUAGCGAGCUCCAACCAACUGCUUCUGUCGUUCUGUGCCGAACCACACGAGAUAGAGAAAGAAUGCAAAGGUAAGAUGUCACGUCACCACAUUAUUGACUGCUCGAUUAGUAACAUAUUCUAUAAUUUAUGAAAAACAGAGCCAAUACAGAAUGAAAUCCCCUCUUUCCUUUUCCUACUCGCUUGUGAUAAGGACAGAAAGGGGUCAAGUAAAAGUAUAAGGAAGCACUCAGAAAGUGGCAGUCCGCAGGAAGAACUUAUGGUACUUAGUUCAGGUUUAUUGACCUUUAUUUGUCUCCGUUAGCGUUUCACUUAACUAUUCCAUGAUUCUAUUCUGUCUUUCUAAGGGGUUAAAGGAUAAGUAUAGUUGGAAUCGAGAAAGUUCCGGGGAGUUCAUAAUUGCAUUGCAUAAAAGGAGGAUAAGUAGUGGCUGCGGCGCGUCGAGGCACUUCUUCGACGGUCCCCGUCCGCCCUAGGCCCGUAAGGCCGAUCUUUUAGGGCCCAUCUCUAUCUCCCUCUAUCCCAGAAAAGUACUCUAUACUAUAAGAAAGAAGGACAGCUCAGUUCUAUCUAUGAGGUAAAGAUACCUGAUGAAGGCAGAACAUCUAGCUAGAUAAUAGGUUUCCGGGCAGAGCAGCUCGAGGAGGGGCUUCUAUCUCUAUUGAUCGAGCUUAAGUAUA
RNAcentral lists this long non-coding RNA (6584 nucleotides) under Musa acuminata (dwarf banana). RNAcentral describes it as "long non-coding RNA (MACU_LNC007755)". The stretch from base 1452 to 1524 matches the Rfam family "tRNA". Lineage: Eukaryota; Viridiplantae; Streptophyta; Magnoliopsida; Zingiberales; Musaceae. The record is from RNAcentral.